This 496-nucleotide ribosomal RNA is filed under the name uncultured bacterium. Its description in RNAcentral is "partial 16S ribosomal RNA". It matches the Rfam family "Bacterial small subunit ribosomal RNA", at positions 29 to 507 of the family's 1533-position model. The record is from RNAcentral.
AUGAACGCUGGCGGCGUGCCUCAUCCAUGCCCGUCGAGCGAACGGACGAGAAGCUUGCUUCUCUGAUGUUAGCGGCGGACGGGUGAGUAACACGUGGAUAACCUACCUAUAAGACUGGGAUAACUUCGGGAAACCGUAGCUAAUACCGGAUAAUAUUUUGAACCGCAUGGUUCAAAAGUGAAAGACGGUCUUGCUGUCACUUAUAGAUGGAUCCGCGCUGCAUUAGCUAGUUGGUAAGGUAACGGCUUACCAAGGCAACGAUGCAUAGCCGACCUGAGAGGGUGAUCGGCCACACUGGAACUGAGACACGGUCCAGACUCCUACGGGAGGCAGCAGUAGGGAAUCUUCCGCAAUGGGCGAAAGCCUGACGGAGCAACGCCGCGUGAGUGAUGAAGGUCUUCGGAUCGUAAAACUCUGUUAUUAGGGAAGAACAUAUGUGUAAGUAACUGUGCACAUCUUGACGGUACCUAAUCAGAAAGCCACGGCUAACUACGUG